RNAcentral lists this ribosomal RNA (300 nucleotides) under Triticum aestivum (bread wheat). RNAcentral describes it as "partial small subunit ribosomal RNA". Lineage: Eukaryota; Viridiplantae; Streptophyta; Magnoliopsida; Poales; Poaceae. The record is from RNAcentral.
AUGUUCAGAAUGAGGAGGUCAGUGUUUUACCCAUUGCAUGAUCUGUUGGUUGAGAACUAUGGCCUUCAGUCAACUUGCAACAUAUCAUCCAAAGAAGCGUUGGCGCUUUUUCUAUGGACUUUGGGGACAACGCAGACCACUGACAAUGUGGCGGAUCGGUUUGCACAUAGUCGUUCGGUCACCAACAAAAAAUUCCAUGAGGUUUUGGAGUGUGUUGACCGCAUGGCCGGUGACUACAUUAGGCCAAUGGAUCCAUCUUUCUCUGAACCUCAUCCAAUACUUAGAAAAACAAGGUUCUAG